Molecule: ribosomal RNA, 376 nt
Filed under: uncultured bacterium
Lineage: Bacteria
Description: bacterial SSU rRNA
Rfam family: Bacterial small subunit ribosomal RNA
Source: RNAcentral
AUACGUAGGUGGCGAGCGUUAUCCGGAAUUAUUGGGUGUAAAGGGUGCGUAGGCGGGAUGUAAAGUCAGAUGUGGAAUACCGGGGCUUAACCACGGGGUUGCAUUUGAAACUUAUGUUCUUGAGUUAAGUAGAGGCAAGCGGAAUUCCCAGUGUAGCGGUGAAAUGCGUAGAUAUUGGGAGGAACACCGGUGGCGAAGGCGGCUUGCUGGGCUUUGACUGACGCUGAGGCACGAAAGUGUGGGGAGCGAACAGGAUUAGAUACCCUGGUAGUCCACACUGUAAACGAUGAUUACUAGGUGUAGGGUGGCUGAACCAUUCUGUGCCGGAGUUAACACAAUAAGUAAUCCACCUGGGGAGUACGGCCGCAAGGUUGAA